AACGAACGCUGGCGGCAUGCCUAACACAUGCAAGUCGAACGAGACCUUCGGGUCUAGUGGCGCACGGGUUCGUAACGCGUGGGAACCUGCCCUUAGGUUCGGAAUAACUCCCCGAAAGGGGUGCUAAUACCGGAUAAUGUCUUCGGACCAAAGAUUUAUCGCCUUUGGAUGUGCCCGCGUUGGAUUAGCUAGUUGGUAGGGUAAAAGCCUACCAAGGCGACGAUCCAUAGCUGGUCUGAGAGGAUGAUCAGCCACACUGGGACUGAGACACGGCCCAGACUCCUACGGGAGGCAGCAGUGGGGAAUAUUGGACAGUGGGCGAAAGCCUGAUCCAGCAAUGCCGCGUGAGUGAUGAAGGCCUUAGGGUUGUAAAGCUCUUUUACCCGGGAUGAUAAUGACAGUACCGGGAGAAUAAGCUCCGGCUAACUCCGUG
RNAcentral lists this ribosomal RNA (433 nucleotides) under uncultured bacterium. RNAcentral describes it as "partial 16S ribosomal RNA". It matches the Rfam family "Bacterial small subunit ribosomal RNA", at positions 29 to 507 of the family's 1533-position model. The record is from RNAcentral.